Molecule: small nucleolar RNA, 84 nt
Organism: Xenopus tropicalis (tropical clawed frog)
Lineage: Eukaryota; Metazoa; Chordata; Amphibia; Anura; Pipidae
Gene: SNORD92
Product: small nucleolar RNA, C/D box 92
Source: Ensembl
UUGCUGUGAUGACUUUACAUUGUGGUUUCCAUCACUGAACGUGCAGUAGUGAGGACACUCAUUUCCUUGGCUGUGUCUGAGCGA